RNAcentral lists this non-coding RNA (145 nucleotides) under Pteridomonas danica. Lineage: Eukaryota; Dictyochophyceae; Pedinellales. The record is from RNAcentral.
AAGAAGGAAACAACAAACAUCAAAACCCGGGAAUCCAAGAAGAAAGCAGAAAACACCAAAACCCGUGAAUCUGAAUUUCCACCUAGUUUUCUCUUUUCAUCUUUUAUUUUGUUUCUCUAUCAUGAUUAUCAUAUUGUGUGUGUUU